UGACAGUAGUCGAAACGAAACGUAACCACCCACCACCAUAUUGAAAAAUAAAUUAGUUUAUCGAUGAUGAAUUGAUGAUGAGCAAGUGUUAUUAGUGUUCUAUAGGUGAUAAAACUUUAAUGCAUUUUAUCAAAAAUGGCUGGAAAUUUCGGAAUGCAGCAGUUGAUCCCAAUUGUAAACAAAUUACAAGAUGCAUUCGUGCAAAUGGGCGUGCACAUGUCUUUGGAUCUUCCACAAAUCGCUGUUGUGGGUGGUCAGUCCGCAGGAAAGAGUUCGGUGUUAGAAAAUUUUGUCGGCAGGGACUUCUUGCCACGAGGUUCAGGAAUAGUUACGCGCCGACCAUUGAUUCUACAGCUUAUAAAUGGAAACGCAGAAUGUGCGGAGUUUCUUCAUCUCAAAGGCAAAAAGUUCACUGACUUCAAUGAAGUGCGAAGCGAGAUUGAAGCGGAGACCGACCGUGUCACCGGAUCCAAUAAGGGCAUAUCACCGGUGCCUAUCAAUCUGCGCGUGUAUUCGCCAAACGUUCUUAACCUGACCCUGAUCGAUCUGCCGGGCCUGACAAAGGUUCCAAUCGGCGACCAGCCAAUAGACAUCGAGCAGCAAAUCAAAGCCAUGAUCUUCCAGUUCAUAAGGCGCGAGUCGUGCCUCAUACUCGCGGUCACGCCGGCCAACACCGAUCUGGCGAACAGCGAUGCUCUUAAGCUUGCCAAAGAAGUUGACCCUCAAGGUCUCCGUACUAUCGGCGUGAUAACCAAACUGGACCUUAUGGACGAGGGCACGGACGCGCGCGACGUGCUCGAGAACAAGCUGCUGCCGCUGCGGCGCGGCUACAUCGGCGUCGUCAACCGCUCGCAGAAGGACAUCGACGGACGCAAGGACAUCUCCGCCGCCCUCGCCGCUGAACGGAAGUUCUUCCUUAGCCACCCAUCAUACCGUCACAUGGCGGACCGCCUCGGCACGCCGUACCUGCAGCGGGUACUGAACCAGCAGCUGACGAACCACAUCCGCGACACGCUGCCGGGCCUGCGCGACAAGCUGCAGAAGCAACUGCUCGCGCUCGAGAAGGACGUCGAACAGUACAAGCACUUCAGGCCCGACGACCCCUCCAUCAAGACUAAGGCUAUGUUGCAAAUGAUCCAAACCCUGCAAACGGAUUUCGAGCGCACGAUCGAGGGCUCCGGCUCGGCUCAAAUCAACACGAACGAACUCUCCGGCGGCGCUAAGAUCAACCGACUGUUCCACGAACGAUUCCCAUUCGAGAUUGUGAAGAUGGAAUUCGACGAGAAAGAACUGCGCAGGGAGAUCGCAUUCGCCAUUAGAAAUAUUCACGGUAUUAGGGUGGGGCUUUUCACGCCCGACAUGGCGUUCGAGGCAAUAGUGAAGAAACAAAUAGCUCGGCUCAAGGAGCCCUGCCUCAAGUGUGUUGACUUAGUCGUGCAGGAGUUGUCUAAUGUGGUCCGCAUCUGCACGGAAAGGAUGUCGCGCUACCCGCGCCUGCGCGAGGAGACGGAGCGCAUCAUCAUGUCGCACGUGCGCUCGCGCGAGCAGCAGUGCAAGGACCAGCUCGUGCUGCUCAUCGACUGCGAGCUCGCCUACAUGAACACCAACCACGAGGACUUCAUCGGGUUUGCCAAUGCACAAAAUCAAUCGGAGAACGCUGCCAAGUCCGGCCAUCGCGCUCUCGGCAACCAAGUCAUUAGGAAAGGUUACAUGUGCAUACACAACUUGGGCAUCAUGAAAGGUGGUUCCCGUGACUACUGGUUCGUGUUGACGUCCGAGAGCAUCUCCUGGUACAAGGACGAGGAGGAGCGCGAGAAGAAAUACAUGCUCCCCCUCGACGGACUGAAGCUGCGCGAUCUGGAGCAGGGUUUCAUGUCGCGGCGACACAUGUUCGCGCUCUUCAACCCCGAGGGUAGGAAUGUAUACAAGGAUUACAAGCAGCUGGAGUUGUCCUGUGAGACGCAAGACGACGUGGACUCGUGGAAGGCGUCGUUCUUGCGCGCCGGCGUGUACCCGGAGAAGACGUCCGAGGCGGCCAACGGAGACGAGUUAUUUCUGCCUUCCCUGGGGUUGGGUGGAAAUAAAGGAAGAAAUUCCGACAGCAGCGGUACGAGCAGCAUGGACCCUCAGCUGGAGCGACAAGUGGAGACCAUUCGCAACCUCGUCGACUCGUACAUGCGCAUAGUCACAAAGACAACGCGAGAUCUCGUUCCCAAGACUAUCAUGAUGAUGAUCAUCAAUAACGCCAAAGACUUUAUUAACGGAGAGCUCCUCGCACAUUUAUAUGCUUCCGGCGAUCAGUCUCAAAUGAUGGAAGAGUCACCCGAGGAGGCCCUGAAGCGCGAGGAGAUGUUGCGUAUGUACCACGCGUGCAAGGAGGCGCUGCGCAUCAUCGGCGACGUGUCGAUGGCCACCGUCAGCACGCCCGUGCCGCCGCCCGUCAAGAACGACUGGCUCGAGAGUCGUCUCGACUCCAACCCGCGCCUCUCCCCGCCCUCGCCCGGCGGUCCACGCCGCGCCGCGCCUGCGCAGCAGGGUUCCCUGGGCCAACGCGGCGCGCCCCCGCCGCCGGGCGGCGCGGGUCGUCCGGCGCCGCCGCUGCCGUCGCGGCCGGGCGGCGCCGCGCCCCCGCCCCCCGCGGGCCGCCCCGCGCCCGGACAGGGCCUGCCCGCACCGCUCAUCCCCACGCGGCGCUAAGCGUGCGACCCCGACACGUGCCCAUUAACUAACUAAUAUAAUUUACGUACGAACAAUAAGCCGACCGGUGCCCAAUAUGCCGCCGAAGCUGCCCGAGCGACCGCAGAACGGUCGGCCAUUUUGAACGCGCCCACUCUUCGCCAUCGUCUAUAAUAAGCUUUACUGUAAAUAUGUUUCUAUUAUGUAUAUUGCCUUAUAUUUAAUGCUUAGAUUUACGCAAAGUAUUUAAUUAGUUAAAGAAGAACACAAUGAACUGUGAUUACUUCAAAGAACGAUGUCGAAUUUCUGUGUCUAAUUGCGAGUAAGGCUAGUUUUACUCACUUUAGACAAAUUAUUAUUUAAGAUAAUCGUCAAUGUUCAGACAUAAUCAAUGUAUGAAAUCGAUGUUAAUGAACAUUAAAUCUAUGCAAUAAUAUGUGUCGAUUAAAAUGGCGCUGAAGACCACUAAAAUUUAACUUUAUAUAAAUUAAACAAGCGUUUCUGUUGCCAAUGCACAACUAUUGCAUAGUUAUUGCUUCGACUUAUUAAAUUUGAUGUGUAUGACAACUCUUAUUAAAAAAAAUAUAAUGUUUGAUGUAUAAAAGAUUCUUCUACUUAUAUAGAAAUAUAAAGUCAGAGUGAAUUCCUUGAGGCGGCUUAAGGCCCGAGUCACACGCUACGUUAUAUACUUCUUUAAUAGAUGUUGAGAUACUUUAAAGCGUAUCGUUUGUAUGCUUAGUCCCCUUACAAACGGCUCACCGUUGUUUCUUAUAAGAAUUGUCGUGCCAUACGACUGACAGAAUGUUGGAUUGUUCUCCUUAGAAGAGGCUACUGUAAUGGAAGUGUUCGUUCUGCUUUGCGGAAAUACUUAAUCUUGGAAUUUAAUAUGUGUAACCGCAUUACUGUGGCAUUUAACAGAAGGCCUGGCACGUGACUAAGAGGUUUUAUAAAAACAUUUACGAAGUACGAGUACUGGAACUCCUGUACUAUAAAAGGGUCCCCGUAGACUACAGAUUUUUUUGUCGACUGACAGUUUAUUCAGGUUUAGGUUGUUGAACAGUUUGGUUGUUCAACAAGCAACAGUAGGUUGUUUGCUUUAAAAAAAUGCUUGUUGGUAAAUUUUACUUAAAGAGAACAAUCGCGAAAUGAAAGAAAGUCACUCACAGAAGGUAACCGAAAGUGCUGAGUAAUUUAGAUGUGAAAUUAUAUAUGAAUUAAUAUAACAAUAAAAAAAUAAUUACUAUAAAGAAUUAAAAUUCCACAAUAGAAAUAUGUAUUAAAUUGAAUAAGUCUAACCCGCUUCAACGAACUUGAUAAACAAAGCAUUGUAUUCGCAUCAGAAUAUUAGAUAAUUACUAUUUUAAGAUAGUUUGCGGGGUAUUUAACGGUGCAUCACAAUUUAAUAUCACAAGUCGCUGCUAAGGGUAUAUCUAGUUUCCCGCACGCGCCUUGAACGAGCCCUAAACGAGUGCUUUAUGUAGGUUCUUUACAGAGUUAACAAUCAUUUUGGCUGGCUGGAAGGUUUCCUGGUAGCUUUGCAGCUAUUAUUAUUUCUUUGCGAUUAAAGGGUGGGUAUAGGGCUGUAAGGAACGAGUUUCAAACCAGCUCAAAAUAUGAUGACACUGUUUGUGUAUCGUACUAGACAAGGAAUGUAUGCAGUAACUUACAGUUACAUAUCUUACAAUAUAUUUUUGUACCGCGCGAUUAAGGCGUGUACGCCAAUCUGGAUAUAACUCUUAGAACAUAGAGAUUAACUGCAAAUAAUGCUUAGUUUUAAGUAGACACUAAUUUAUUACUACUUUUGUAUCGAUAAAAUUUGUUGAAGGAGAAAUUAAACAGGAACUGGAGAGAUAUAAUUAAGAAUCGUUAAUUUGCCUAAAAGUUAAAAUGAUAGCUCAAAUCGCUGACUUAUACUACUUAAUUGUUAUUGUUGUGUGUAAAAUAUAUUUUGUCAUAAUUAUGGAUAAUUUUUAAAUUAUUUAUUUGACUAUAUUACCUCUUCUUUACAUCAAGUCUCUCCGGUUUCCACUGGGAAUACACAAAGGAUAUUUUUGUAAAUUCAUACUAUUUUUACUUCCGAUGUUUGGAUAUAGUAUAGAUGUCAAAUAGUUUUUAGUUAAAACUCAAUGGUCGAUGUUCUGUAAUUAUUGUUUUGUAUAUUUUAGGGGUUAUUUAUCAUACAUUCCCAUUGCGUCAUACCUGAUAUAUUCGCGUGCCAGGUUGUAACGUGUAUAUAAAUGUAAAGUAAUAUUGUAGACUUGUUUAUACUUGUAUACUGUUGUAUGCAAUUGUAAUAAAUGUGUAUAUAAAAUA
RNAcentral lists this unclassified non-coding RNA (4989 nucleotides) under Manduca sexta (tobacco hornworm). Its description in RNAcentral is "dynamin, transcript variant X7". The record is from RNAcentral. Lineage: Eukaryota; Metazoa; Arthropoda; Insecta; Lepidoptera; Sphingidae.